RNAcentral lists this ribosomal RNA (395 nucleotides) under uncultured bacterium. RNAcentral's name for it is "partial 16S ribosomal RNA". It matches the Rfam family "Bacterial small subunit ribosomal RNA", at positions 523 to 918 of the family's 1533-position model. The record is from RNAcentral.
AUACGUAGGGUGCAAGCGUUAAUCGGAAUUACUGGGCGUAAAGCGUGCGCAGGCGGUUUUGUAAGACAGAGGUGAAAUCCCCGGGCUCAACCGGGGAACUGCCUUUGUUACUGCAAGGCUAGAGUAUGGGAGAGGGGGGUGGAAUUCCGCGUGUAGCGGUGAAAUGCGUAGAUAUGCGGAGGAACACCGGUGGCGAAGGCAAUCCCCUGGGCCUGUACCGACGCUCAUGCACGAAAGCGUGGGGAGCAAACAGGAUUAGAUACCCCGGUGGUCCACGCCCUAAACGAUGUCAACUGGUUGUUGGGUCUUCAUUGACUCAGUAACGAAGCUAACGCGUGAAGUGCACCGCGUGGGGAGUACGGCCGCAAGGUUGAAACUCAAAUGAAUUUGCGGGG